RNAcentral lists this ribosomal RNA (253 nucleotides) under uncultured bacterium. Its description in RNAcentral is "partial 16S ribosomal RNA". It matches the Rfam family "Bacterial small subunit ribosomal RNA", at positions 524 to 776 of the family's 1533-position model. The record is from RNAcentral.
GACAGAGGGUGCAAACGUUGUUCGGAGUUACUGGGCGUAAAGCGCGUGUAGGCGGCCAAUCAGGUCGGAUGUGAAAUCCCUCGGCUCAACCAAGGAAGUGCAUUCGAAACCGUUUGGCUAGAGUCCCGGAGAGGAAGGUGGAAUUCUCGGUGUAGAGGUGAAAUUCGUAGAUAUCGAGAGGAACACCGGCGGCGAAGGCGGCCUUCUGGACGAGGACUGACGCUGAGAUGCGAAAGCGUGGGGAGCAAACAGG